Rhopalosiphum maidis (corn leaf aphid) is the source of this 1068-nucleotide RNA transcript. It is a transcript of the gene named vesicle transport protein GOT1B, with no coding region annotated. The transcript has 6 exons. Lineage: Eukaryota; Metazoa; Arthropoda; Insecta; Hemiptera; Aphididae. The record is from RefSeq and is a predicted model, not a curated record.
GUACGAUCCACAGAAUAUAUUGAAUAUAACAACAGUCAAUACAAUUAUUAACUAAUAACUAUUAACUUCUCCCCAGUCCCAACCAUCCACACAGCAUACGUUUCAAUUCAGAAUUGUACAAUAUAAAAUUCAUCAUUCACAAAUCACAAUAUUAUAACACUAUAAUAGAGUAUAUUAUUAUUUAAUGACUGCGGUAUUUAUACUUAUCAACUGAAGUACCGUUACUCUGUACUUGGAUAUCGUAAAAUGUUGCAUAAUGUAACUUCGUAGUGUUUAAAAAUUUUAUGUAAUAUUUAUAUUAUUAAUAAUGAUUUUUAUGUACAUUAUUCUGUGACAAAAUUUGUUUUAAAUGUCUUCAAUGUUUGAAAUAACUGAUUUACAAAAAAUCGGAGUUGGCCUGGCCGGUUUUGGAAUAUCGUUCCUAUUCCUGGGCAUGCUGUUGCUGUUCGAUAAAGGACUUUUAGCCAUUGGCAAUAUAUUGUUCAUAGUGGGUCUUAGUUGUGUUAUCGGUGUACAACGAACUUUAAAGUUCUUUUUCCAGAGGCAAAAAAUCAAAGCAUCUUUAUCAUUUUUUGGUGGGAUUUCAGUUGUCCUUUUUGGAUGGCCAAUUGUAGGAAUGCUAUUUGAAAUUUAUGGAUUCAUACUUCUAUUCAGUGGUUUCUUUCCAGUAGUUAUAAAUUUCAUGCGCCGAGUACCAUUAUUGGGUACUUUACUCAAUUUGCCUGGCAUUACUGGACUGUUAGAUCGAGUGGCGGGUGAUACGAGACGGACAAUGGUAUGAUUAACCAUUACAAAUAAUACAAACAAAUAAAUUACUACCAUAACAUUUUGCCAUGAUUUCAAUUGAUGUUUAUACAUUGUAAUACCUACUAACUGGACAUUUCUGGGCUAUUUGCUUUCAGUUAUUUAUUUAAUUAUUACUAAAUUACUUUAUUCAGUAUAUUAUAAUAUUACCUAAUAAAUUGAAUUUUAUUGGUAAUAUAUUAUGUUUUAUAAAUUUUCUGUAAUUACAAUUUUAUUUUUAUUAUAUACAAUUAAAUUUUAAGUUACCACAUUCAACCUAAUGGC